Molecule: non-coding RNA, 115 nt
Filed under: Chloropicon laureae
Lineage: Eukaryota; Viridiplantae; Chlorophyta; Chloropicophyceae; Chloropicales; Chloropicaceae
Also listed under: 1 other name
Source: RNAcentral
AGAAACACCAACGCAAGAAGAAGGAAGAAGAAGAAAGGAAAACAGAAAGACACGAAGAAAAAAACCACACCUCGUCAAAUCUAAUUUUAUUUUAGCUCUUCUCUUGGUCCUUUUU